This 811-nucleotide unclassified non-coding RNA is filed under the name Thrips palmi. RNAcentral describes it as "glycine-rich protein 3-like, transcript variant X2". The record is from RNAcentral. Lineage: Eukaryota; Metazoa; Arthropoda; Insecta; Thysanoptera; Thripidae.
GUCCAGGACGGCUGCUCCCUGCUCCGCGCGGUGCGCGGUGCGUUCAUUUAAAAGGUGGCGCCGGCACCGCACGGCGCCAGUCUUGGUUUUGUUCCUCGCGCGCUCCCACGACGACGAGCCAUGGCACGCGCGGCUACGGUGUUGGUGGUCUGCGCUGCGCUGCUGGCCGUCGCCACCGCCCUGCCUCGGCCGGACCCCCAGGGCUUCAACCCCGACUGCCAGGGCGGCGACUAUGACGGUGACUACGAUGACGGCGACGGCGGCGGCGGCGGCGGCGGGUACAUUGGCAACGGCCUCUACGGCACGGGCGACUCGGGCUACGCACAGGGGUACAACGCGUACUCCAGCUACAGCGGCUACGGCGCGGGCACCCAGGGCGGCUACGGCGGCGGCCAUGCCGACCCCUCGGGCAGGAGCGCGUCGUCCUUCGGGGUGGGCUUCGGUCGGUAGCUCGGACUUGGACUCGGACUCGGCGAGGAGGCGGGACAAGGCGCCCUAGGGUGAAGAUGCUCCGCCGCCUGCUCGUGGUGGUGCUGUUCGUGCUCGUGAUGUACCUCACCGUGACCGACGCCAAGGGCGGCUACAGGGGCGGCUACAGGGGCGGCUACAGGGGCGGCUACGGCGGCUACGGCGGCUAUGGCGGCUACAGACCGCGCUACGGAGGCGGCUAUGGCUACGGCUACAAGUACAAGUACAAGGGCUAGCCGGCUAGUCCGCCGCUGCUCUGACGACCACCUGUCUUCUGCCAUCGAAUUCUUCUUUGUUUUGCGUGGGCGUGCAAUCGAAAUAAUAAACAUGCUUUGAAACGUUU